CUGUCGGGGCGGCGGAUUCCGCCUUUUUUGUAUCAAGUAAGGAGUUGAAAAUCCCCUAGGUUUCACUCACUCGCACCCCUCUCACAACUUCGAUCAUCUCUCGCCUUCUCCAUCACUGCCGGCGUCCCUCAUUCUCUUCCUCUACCCGAUUGGGAGAGGACAGGCUCCCCUUUCCGCCUCCAUCUCAUCUAUAGCCGACGCUAACGCACACAAUAGGAGCUUCAUCCCAGAAUCCGCAGGCCAUCUCAUCUCCUCUACCAUCUUCCUCGCCGUUGACGGCAAGGUCUUCUCACAGAGCUUCUAGAUCUGAAAGCCAUCUCACGAUGCCUUCAUCUUUAGCCCACAGCUUCUUCCAAUUGGGAGAGGCGCCACCACCGAACUCUACAUCACCCUCUCCUGAUUAGUAGAGGUUUCUUCACCACCACUAGUUUCCUUCCACCUCUCCAUUUCGGAUUUGAAGAGUAAAGCUUCAUCACUAGCCAGCAGCCCCUCUCCUCUUCGGAUUUGAAGAGGAGAGUUCAUCCAUCCUUCAACAACCCCUUUAUCUUCAGAUUCGAAGAGAAGGUUUCAUUCUCCAUCGACGAGCAGCCAUCCACUUCAUACACAGCCUUCGCCGGCAGAUUGGCCGUCAGAGAAGCUCCAUCCAGCAGCCCCCUCUCCACUACGGAUUCAAAGAGGAGAGUUCUAUUCCGAUCCAUGCCUACGACAUUGGGUUAUUUCUAUCUAUGUUGAAUUGUGUUAUUCUUGUUGAUUGUUGAAUUGUAACGUAGCUAUUCUCCCAUGUUUAGAAUUGUAUGUAUUUUGCUUAAUUGAAUUCUCGCUCGUUAUGUGUUGAUGAAAUGCCUCUUUCAUUAGUUAGUUUCUAAACUUGCAUCUUCUUUGGUUUGAAUUCUUGUGAUGAUUAGUUAGUUGAAUGUUUUAGGUUAGAUUAGAUUAGAUUAGUUGAAUUUUGAAAAAUUUAUUCAUGUGGAAGUUUAUUUCUAAUAUUUCCUAAAUUUUUGCGACUCAAAUUUAUUCAACUUGUCCAUUACCUUGUCUAUAAACUAUGCACUUCCAUAAUCAUAAACUAUGCACUUCCAGAAUCUUAUUGAAGCUUGUCAUUGGGUCGGUCUUGAAGCUAUAUUAUGUUAUUUUGGAAAGUUUCUUGAAACAUAAUCCAUUCAAAGAAAUUUGGAACUCAGGAAGUGUGGACUUCCAUUGCAUUUUAUCCAUACCUAUGCUUUCUCUUUAACAUCCUCGCGUUUGCUUAUGGUUUAGUCACUUUAUUGCUAUUCACUUUGUCCAUUCGAAGGAUUUAACUCAAAUUAUAUAAGAUAAUUUGCUGCCUGUUUUCCCUCAGUUUGCUUGCUCGACACACAUAACACAACUAGAUAUGUGUUCCAUUCUAAAAGUUUUCUAUAGUUUAUGAUUGGCUUCUAUAUCAAUUUAUAAUUUAACAAUAUAAGAACUAUUGUGUUUAUGGUCAACAUGGUUAUCCAUUAGUAUAACUCAUUACAUGUAUUAGAUGUUCCAAAGAGAUUUUAAAAGUUGAGUUUGGAUUCUUAGCUGUUAAUUUGGGUGCUGAAUAUUUGACCCUAACCCAAGCAAGUUUAUCCCAGGGCUUUCAUUUUUUUUCCUUCACUUUGUAUUUUGGUUUUAAGGACUUCUAUCAAAUUGACUCAUUUCGCUCUAAUAUAUUUUAGAAGUUGGCUCGCUUUGGCACACUAUUGUUCUUGGAACUGGAGACCUUCGGUCCUUUCCAAAGCGGCACUAGGUAGUCACUUGGACAAAAGUCAGCUGAGCAAUGUGUAAAACAAAUUGUGUUUGUUUAAUCAUCACGAUACCACCAUGUUGGCGUGAUUUCCCACCUACAGCGGAGUAUAGGAACAAUUUCAUCAUUGAUUAUCCGAGUGUAGUUUUGUUUCUGUUGUACCUUGUUUAUUAAAGUUGCCUUGAGAAACCACAUUAAACUACUUGAUCAGAAUAUGGAGGAUUAAGAUGCAGAAUAUAGAAAAAUAAAAGUCCAUGGCUGCAUAUAUCAAGAGAGAGGGUCGUCAUGCAUCAUUUAUCUCCAUUCUCUUAGAAAAUUGCAUGGGCCUAAUAACUUUUCUUUUUUGUUAAAAUUUGUUUGAAAGCGGAGAGUUCUCAAAUAAAUCUAAUAACUUUGAGUGAUUGGUAAGGAUGUUGGAUAUGUAUCUGUGAGAAAAAAGAGUUCUUUAAUGAAUCCAAACUUAUGUGUUGCUUAGGUAUUUUUACCUUAAGCUUUUUGAUCUUUCACCGAUCAAUGUUUGUUUUCUUUGAUACACAGGUUUGUUCUGCCUUGGUGCAACUUAUAGAAGUUUGACCAUUAUUCCUAGAGUGCCUUUUCAGAUAUUUUGAAGGUGAAUGGAGGUAUUAAAAAAUCUAGCUAAAUAGCUCGGGUAUGGAUGAUUACAGGAGCAACAAUUACAUGUUAUGUGGCACUACAUCUGAACCUCAUGGGUGUGACUGGGAAGUACUUCGACGAAGAACUAUCAAGAAGGCUUUGGGAUUUAAGUGAGAAGAUGGUUAAAGUCAAUGAGUAAAGAACAUUCAAGUCAAGAGGAUAAGUAGCAUCUAUAAAGAUCCUUUAAGUUCAUGCAAUAAGAUGUAGAUGAUAGAAGUAGUUUUCAGUGUCUCCUAAUUAAAAUUUCUUUGUAUGCAAGUAAUUAUGCUUGUUAUAAAGUGUAUGGAUGAUAAUUUAUAUAUUUAUCUUGGUUGUUUAUUUAA
Molecule: long non-coding RNA, 2727 nt
Organism: Zingiber officinale
Lineage: Eukaryota; Viridiplantae; Streptophyta; Magnoliopsida; Zingiberales; Zingiberaceae
Exons: 2
Source: RefSeq, a predicted model, not a curated record